Paramacrobiotus metropolitanus is the source of this 964-nucleotide long non-coding RNA. RefSeq lists it as uncharacterized. Lineage: Eukaryota; Metazoa; Tardigrada; Eutardigrada; Parachela; Macrobiotidae. The record is from RefSeq and is a predicted model, not a curated record. The transcript is spliced from 3 exons.
UAAAUUAUCAGAAUCUUUUAAUUAGCAGGUCGUUAUUACGACAAGAACGACAAAGAGUACAUAUGUAACGUUGUCAUCGAUGAAAAUUUCUGCGCGAGUGCCGACCGAUCAAGAGACCAAGCUACCGGUACUGCCCAGUGUACGGGGCCCGUUAGGUGAGGGGAUGACCAAGCUACCGGUACUGUCCAGUGCACAGAGCUCGUUAAGCGAAAGGAGUGACCAAGCUACCGGCACUGUGCAGUGUAUGGGAAUGGAUAAGUGAGCGGGUGACCGAGCUACGGGUACUGUCCAGUGCCUCUCGCCAUACAUAAUUCUAGGCGGACGAAUUACCAAGCUACUGGUACGCUACGUCAAAUGUACGGGACCCGAUAGGUGGGGAUCGGCAUUCUGGUCGAAGGAAUACAGUGGGACCUUCGCGGUGUGUAGAGGCCUUCAAUCCGGCGACAAAUACGUGGACAAGAAAAUGUAAUAUGUGGAGGAUGCGUUCAGACGCGGGAAUCUGUGCUUUACCGGGCAAAAUCAUUGUUCUGGGUGGCAACAAAGAGCAUCCCAAGUACGACAGAAAAUACGUAGACUAUGAAGUGUACGAUGAGGCCUCCGACCGCUGGACACUGUAUACGGGCUGGUGGCGGGCCGGGCAGCAACAAGCUUGCGCAGCAUUUCUUCGGCUUCCUAAUGGUGGUGAACCGGCGAACCUCGGCCCGGAUGUUGCGGAAUUCUUACGGCCGGGACGGCGACAACGCAGUAAUUUUGGCUUUGCCGGUCCUCGUUGAUGAGGAAGUAGAGAAGUUUUGAUUCUACUGCAUGAUCAUUACUUCGCUGGUUUGCACUCUUUUGUUUUAAUUGCACGAUACUUCGCGUUACGUACACUACGCAUUCCGUUCUUCACUACAUUUUGCACCUAUAACUACGAGCUUUUACUGGGUUACUGUGUGAAAACUACUGUGUACAAAUUUAUUUUGUA